Molecule: non-coding RNA, 104 nt
Organism: Marasmius oreades (fairy-ring Marasmius)
Lineage: Eukaryota; Fungi; Basidiomycota; Agaricomycetes; Agaricales; Marasmiaceae
Source: the annotation of a RefSeq genome assembly
UCCCUCUUAGCUCAGUGGUAGAGCGCUUCACUAGUAUGGUAUGUUCGAAUAGCCCUAAGAUUCUUACGAUGAAGAGGUCAGUCGUUCAAGUCGGCUAGAGGGAA